CAUGAGACCCUAUCUCAAAACAAAACAAAUCAAAAUUGCUUGUGAUACAACGGCAGCAUUACAAGUUCCCGUAGUAUAUGAUGUGAUUUCCAGGAGAUUUGGGGAAGAGUGGUUAAGAUGCACAGGAGGUGGUCUCCCAGCAUGCUCCAGUGCAGCAUUUUAAAGUAGUCUCUUUGCAGGUCUGGUCUCAACCCAAGGCCCAAAGAUCCUUCACCCGCAGAGGUGACCCUCAGCACACCACUCCGAGGUUUGGAUCGCCUUUCCUGUGAAUUUCCGAUGUCAACUUCCAAGUCGUGAUUUAAAUCUUGGCUUCUGGCCGUCUUCAAUUCAGAUAUUAGCAAACUCAAGCUGGAAUGCGGCAGUAGGAACCUGAAACCGGGCCAAUGGACUCAGAGAGCCAGUUCGAUUAAGUUCUCCCUAACAAAGUUACUGAGUCCUUUCUCACAGAGUUUAAGUACGCAGGAAUGGCUCUUCCAAACAGUCCAGGUGAAUUGCCGAGUCUCAGUUUCCUGCCCUUGUCACCCCUUGGCCAUCAGAAGGGAGCAGACGGAAGAGAUGCUGAUGGGGGACACCAUGGUGGCCACACCCAGUCCAUCAGACAGCUCAGGGGCAAUGGAGGCUGAGUCAAAGCCUGCAGCUAAACAGCCAGAGGGGACUUGGCACACGUGGGCGUGGCUGCCUGUGCCUGGCCAACUGUUUGAGGCCUGUCUUGCCUUCAUGUUACAUAAUGUGGUUUUUUUGUUUGUUUUUAAUCAGAAAGCUAUAAUAGGCUUUUGGGAGACCGGAGAUCAGCUGCUAAAUCAGCCUUCCUAAGCACGUGACAGGCGUCACUCUCCAGAUAAAUCAGGUCACUUGCAGAAGGUUGGAGGUCCGCAGAGAGUCUCCAUUUACUCCACAAAUCAUCCCGCUCUGUCCUCUGAGGACUGCAUUCCCAGCCUUCCCGGGGACAUCUGUGCAAUGAAUUUAUGGACUCAACUUCCAGCUUCAAGGGGUGGCAGCUUCGAUUAAGGAAAGCGAUAACGUUUGCCGUCAAAACAGAGCCUGGUAGAUGGGGUAGAUUCCUGCCUCUCUCCGGCAGUCUUUCCACAGCUUCUUAAGCAGAGGUUUGGGACCCGGGCAGCAAGGGAACACACCGCCCCUCUGACUGGGUUCAGUGGCUUCUGACCUUCCCUCUUGGUUAACCCAACCAAGCAGCAGAUGAGAGAUAGCUAACGAAAAUGCAAAAGAAUGGGUUGCUGCACCCCCCCCCCAGGAGACAGCGCUCAGUUCUAUCACGCAUGUGGGAUUACUAAGCCACCAGGUGUAUUUUCUCAGCUCUUCUCCAACCCCUGCCCACACACUGGUCCUCCCAACGUGGGUAGGAUCCACAGGACCAUCGCACGAAGUUUCAGCUGCCCCAAAUGGUGAGACUGAGUUUUGACUGUCCUCAGUGGUGCUCUUUAAAAAA
This is a long non-coding RNA of Peromyscus leucopus (white-footed mouse), 1447 nucleotides long. RefSeq lists it as uncharacterized. The transcript has 2 exons. NCBI's taxonomy places the organism in Eukaryota, Metazoa, Chordata, Mammalia, Rodentia, Cricetidae. The record is from RefSeq and is a predicted model, not a curated record.